Molecule: transfer RNA, 69 nt
Filed under: Puncturella cf. parvinobilis
Lineage: Eukaryota; Metazoa; Mollusca; Gastropoda; Lepetellida; Fissurellidae
Description: tRNA-Thr
Source: RNAcentral
GCAAUAAAAGCCGAUUAGAGGCAGUGGUCUUGUAAGCCGAAGGUAGAAAAUAGUUAUUUUUUUAUUGCU